Molecule: transfer RNA, 71 nt
Filed under: Candidatus Kuenenbacteria bacterium
Lineage: Bacteria; Candidatus Kueneniibacteriota
Description: tRNA-His
Rfam family: tRNA
About the family: Transfer RNA (tRNA) molecules are approximately 80 nucleotides in length. Their secondary structure includes four short double-helical elements and three loops (D, anti-codon, and T loops). Further hydrogen bonds mediate the characteristic L-shaped molecular structure. tRNAs have two regions of fundamental functional importance: the anti-codon, which is responsible for specific mRNA codon recognition, and the 3' end, to which the tRNAs corresponding amino acid is attached (by aminoacyl-tRNA synthetases). tRNAs cope with the degeneracy of the genetic code in two manners: having more than one tRNA (with a specific anti-codon) for a particular amino acid; and 'wobble' base-pairing, i.e. permitting non-standard base-pairing at the 3rd anti-codon position.
Source: RNAcentral
GUGACUAUAGUUUAGCGGUAGAACAGCGGGUUGUGGUCCCGCUAGUCUGGGUUCGACUCCCAGUAGUCACC